Molecule: non-coding RNA, 684 nt
Organism: Prunus avium (sweet cherry)
Lineage: Eukaryota; Viridiplantae; Streptophyta; Magnoliopsida; Rosales; Rosaceae
Source: RefSeq, a predicted model, not a curated record
UAUAUAUAUUCCACUAGAGGGCUUUCAUAUUGUCUGACUUGUUCUCUCAAUGUACUUACAAACACAAUAUUACCUUUCCGUUUGUGGUGCCUUGUAUGUGAUGGCUUGAACCUUACUAUUCCUAAUUUUCUAACUGGUUGAGGAUAUGUUUGCUCUGCUUGAUUAUCUCCAUAUUUCACACAUAUGCUAGUUUCAUAUUUUAUAGUCUUCCAUUUCUACAACAAACGUUUGUCAUAAAUGCGAAGCUGACACAGCAAUGAUGUAAUUUGCAUUAUCAUAUAAGCGUACUUUCUCCGUCUCUUUCUCCAUCGAUAUAUAUUCCCCUUAUUUAAGUCAUCAUAUAUUAUAUCUGACCAUAGUGUCUUAAAUCUUUGGUGGUCAUUUGUGUUUUUGGGGUUUUGAUGAGUAUAUGAAUUUGGUUCUGGAUGAGGCCAAAGAAGUUAGCAUCAAGAAAAAAACCAGAAAGUCAUUGGAUUUGGUGAACAACCUUGGUACCAUUGCAAGGGUGGCACCAAGGAAUUAAUGGAAGCCUUGGCUGCUGGUGCUUAUCUUGUUGCAGAUAAGGUCAUUGUUACAACCAAGCACAAUGAUCAUGAGAAGUAUGUGUGGGAGCCACUCCGAUUCAAUGUUUAUGAUGUAUUUCCUUUUGCCUUUGCGAUUGUACCUGGUGAAACUGUAGACAAU